Long non-coding RNA from Equus asinus (donkey), 1580 nucleotides. NCBI's taxonomy places the organism in Eukaryota, Metazoa, Chordata, Mammalia, Perissodactyla, Equidae. The record is from Ensembl.
AUGCUUUCAAGUCACAGAGAGCCCAGUACACUAAAGAGAACGGCUCCAGCAUCAGCCUCAAAGUCACCCUGGAGCCCAGAAUCAGAGGGGCAGGAGAAAAACUAGAAACAACCCAAAUGUCCAAGAGACAGUUACAUAAGGCAUCAUACAGCUGAACGAGAACGCAGGUGCAGUCAUUCAAAUGAGGAUGCUGGUUACGUGUAUUACAGGAAAGUCCUCACAAUACACAGAAACAAGGAGACACAGGGAAACUACAGGAGGGAAAAAGGAAAGAUGGAAGCCACACCAAGGAGGAGAGAGAAGCUUUCGAUGAUGAACCAAGAACGUCAUAGAGUUGGAAUCCUACAGUAUGUAGCCUUUUCAGAUCGGCCUUGUUCACUUGGUAAUAUGCAUUGCUGGGAAAGCUGUACGAGGUCUGGAGCGCGGGGCAUCCCGGGAUCAGCUCCCUGCUGCCACAACCCCACUGGUGUUAUUAGUAUCCUCAUCAGAAUGACGUCUUUUCCAGCAGCUUGUUUCUAGCACGUUUCUGAGUUUCUACAGCCCGUCCAGAUCUAGGCCCCUGGUCACAUCCCAGAGCCACCCCCACCACAGACACAAGGCCCCUCAGUGCCAGGCCCCCUUGGUGGAUCUCAAAUGGUUUUGCAUAAGCCCCACCCCACAUAAGGCAGCAGAAGCAGGCUCUUACCCUAUUCGGCAGAUGGGCAGGCUGUGGCUCAGAGAAGCUGAGUGGCUGGCAUAAAAUGGCACAGGAUCUCCUCUACAACCACCUACAACCACCCUCCAUACAGCAAGCCCCUCAGCUUCCCUUUCCACCCAAAGGUCUGGCUCCCACUCUUGGAUGAAGAGAAGGAGCGUCUGAACCCAAAAUUCCUUACAGCACAAUAGACAACUGAAAAACAACUCAACAGAAUUUUAAUUAUUCACAGAAAACGUGUACUGUGUACAAGGUAUUGAUCAAAGAACUUUAUAAAUACUAACUCAUUUUCUCCUUAUAACUACCUUAAUGAAGCAGGUACAAUUAUUAUCCCCAUUUUAUAGGUGAGGAAACUGAGGCAGGGAGAGAGUAACUGGCCCAGGGCCACACAGCUAGGAGGCCAGAGAGCCGGCAGUGGCCCACACUUUUAGACACUGCACUCUGCUACCUGCGGAUUUUUUGUUUGUACCAUUUUCCAGUUAUUAAUUUUUAAACAGUUUUAUUGAGGUAUAAUUUAAUGGUGUAAUUUAACUUAAGAUUUACCCAUUUUAAGUGUACAAUUAAAUGAUUUCAGUUAAUUUAUAGAAUUGUGCAACCAUUAUAACGAACCAAUUUUGGCACAUUUCCAUCAUCCCAGAAAAGAUCCUUUAUGUCCACUUCCUGUCACUGUUUCAACCUCCAGCCUGAGGCAACCACUAAUCUACUUUCUGUCUCUGUAGAUUUGCCUCUUCUGGAAACUUCAUAAUAAUGAAGUCAGAGAAUGUUGGGUCUUUUGAGUCUGUUUUUGAGGUUGUUCGUUGGGGUAGCAUGUGUCAGCACGUCAUUCCUUUUCAUUGCUGACUAAUAGUCUGUCGUGUGGCUAUCCCACAUUUUGUCUAUCCAUUCA